AUCUCAGAGAAUUGGUGCGGCUGAGCGUCUCGCCUCCCCAAAAUACGUUCCAACAAGGUUCCUGCAAAUCCACUGAAUCGCGGUGCUCGCUUUCAGAGAUCAAGCGUCUGAGGGUGUUCUGCUGGUGUUUGCAAAAGCAAAGCGCUCCCCGCGCGCUCCUGUGUAGUAUUUCCGAGAGAGAGACGAACUUUGGUUUGUCAGCUUGCGCGCGCACUGGCUUUUAAACCCGACGCGCUGUGACGCAAGGGAACCGCUGCCUGCUCUUGCCCAGCCCUCUCUCACUCUCAAUAAUUAUCACUCACCAUUUAACAUUUCAGAAAGCACUGUUUUCAUAAGAAGCGUUUGUUGGAAUCUCUUAAACGCGUUUGGAGAAGUUGCUGCAUCUAUUGAUCGAGUCCAGCGCUGGAGUGGGAGUGAUCUGCUGGGUGUCUCCAUCAAACUGACCGAUAGGAGGAGACAGAGUUCUGUGCUCAGCUCUUCAGGACAUUAGUGCUGGCCACGCUAAAUGAAAGGGCCUAUUCUCUUUGCAGAGUCAGUUUGAUUCCUGGGCAUGCCAGCGUAAUGAAGGAGUGAUGAGAUCCAAUGGCUUGGGCCACCAGCCCGGCCCAACUCUCUCUAAUUCCUGCCCCCAGCUCUUUCCACCUCAUACACACAGGCGUGUUCAGGAGAAACCACACGCACUCGUUUCUAAUGGGAGUCUUCCUGGCGAGCGCCAGCUCAUGAACAUGGAAACGUGGUUGCCCUCGUCGAUCCAAAACCUACAAUGCAUCUCUCUCAGAGCAGACUGA
RNAcentral lists this long non-coding RNA (788 nucleotides) under Carassius auratus (goldfish). RNAcentral's name for it is "lncRNA (ENSCARG00000060178.1)". The record is from RNAcentral. Lineage: Eukaryota; Metazoa; Chordata; Actinopteri; Cypriniformes; Cyprinidae.